This is an RNA transcript of Fragaria vesca subsp. vesca, 694 nucleotides long. RefSeq lists it as uncharacterized. NCBI's taxonomy places the organism in Eukaryota, Viridiplantae, Streptophyta, Magnoliopsida, Rosales, Rosaceae. The record is from RefSeq and is a predicted model, not a curated record. The transcript has 7 exons.
AAGAGAGGGUUGUUGGUUUCAAAUAUCUUUCAUUGUGCUUGGAGAAAGAGGAGAUAGCGACGGAGCGGAUUUCAAUUGCUUAUCUUGCUGAAGAUAGAUUCACAGGUCUUGGUCCAGGAAUAUUUUUCUCGAUUCAGAUUAUCAUGUACUAGGAUCAAAUGAGCGCAAAGUCAUAGGCUUUUUGUGAUCCGUGUAGUUUAUUUGAUGCAUUAUCAUAUGGGGCUGCUUUCCAUGGCAAUGGUUUUUAUCAGCAAAGCUGUGGACUACUCGCUUUCAAUGACACUUUUCAUUCUUGAGAUCAAGCACUUGGUUCUGAACCUACAUUGCCUUACUUGAGUUCGGAUUAGCUCAAUGAAGAAAUAUAUUUGGUGGUGCUAAAUUUGCUUCUGCUGGCACUGGAGUCCUCAUGACACCGGGGAGUUUAGCAUAAGCUUGAAGAAAAGUUCAUUGCAGAUGAGGCAUAACCAAUGCAGGAGAAAGUAGAGAUAUAAAUUCGAAAGUUAUGUAAAAGCCUUCUGCUCUAAAGCUUCAAACCUUAGCGGUUUUGGAAGACAUGCGGGUGUGGCCAGCAUUCUCCAUUGUGAUUUUGAAGAAAUGGAAAACGUACAGUUGGGUCCGGAGUUAGACGAGUCUGGAAGCAUACUUCUGUAGGUAUCAGAGAAGGUUAAUCUUAAGUUGCCUUUGUAAGUCAGGU